This 363-nucleotide ribosomal RNA is filed under the name uncultured prokaryote. RNAcentral's name for it is "bacterial SSU rRNA". It matches the Rfam family "Bacterial small subunit ribosomal RNA", at positions 8 to 352 of the family's 1533-position model. The record is from RNAcentral.
AGAGUUUGAUCCUGGCUCAGGUUGAACGCUGGCGGCAUGCCUAACACAUGCAAGUCGAACGGUAGCAGGCCUUCGGGUGCUGACGAGUGGCGGACGGGUGAGUAAUGCGUAGGAAUCUGUCUUUUAGUGGGGGACGAACCCACGGGAAACGUUAGGGUCGUAAUACCGCCAUGAGCCCCUCGAGGGGGGAAAGGACGGGGGAGUCUUCGGUACCUCGCGCUAAGAGAAGAGCCUACGUCUGAUUAGCUAGUUGGUAGGGUAAAGGGACCUACCCAAGGACGACGAUCAGUAGCUGGUCUGAGAGGACGACCACGCCACACUGGGACGUGAGACACGGCCCACGACUCCCUACCGGGAGGCGAC